Corvus hawaiiensis (hawaiian crow) is the source of this 3699-nucleotide long non-coding RNA. RefSeq lists it as uncharacterized. The record is from RefSeq and is a predicted model, not a curated record. Lineage: Eukaryota; Metazoa; Chordata; Aves; Passeriformes; Corvidae. The transcript has 3 exons.
ACAGCAAAGCAGGAGCAUUAACUCCUGUUAAUGGGGUGAACUGUUUCUCCUAGCCUUUGCAUCUCUGAAGAAAUGGACUCUUCAUCUCUCCUGGCAGAAUUUCCUUCUGAUCAGAAUUUCCUUCUGAUCCUAAGGGAAUUGUAGCAAGGACUAGAGGUCACUGCUAUGACAAAGCAUAGGUUUGGGAACAGCAGUUAUUGACAAGCUUCUAUCCAGUGAGCACCAGAAUAAUCCCCUGAAUCAUCAAGGGAAACUCAGGUCACCUUCCAUUCCACACAUCUCUAACUGUGGUUUAUUAAUAGACUGAAUACAUUUGCUAUUUCUACAUAAGGGCCCACUUCUGAUCUCCUCCAAAGAAGGUUUUAAUCUGCCUGAUUUAAAUGGAGUUACUUCUAAUUUAGUUCACUUCAGUGAGGAAUCACUCCAUGAUCCUCUGCAGAGCUCUUCUGGGCUUCAACUUUUUAAUUGUGCUGCAUAAUGCUUUUAUCUUCCUUAUGGGGCCUCCUAGCCCCAAAUCCACACCUCAGCAAAAGUCCCACCGUAAGUCAGUCUUCAUAUCACAGCGUGAAGGGGGCAAAGAAACAGAGCAUCAGGAUCACAGGAAGAGGAUACAGCAUGGGCUCUUACCUUCCACUCUAUUUUUCCUGUUGUCUGGCUUUCCUCUGCUGUAAGAAUAAGAAGACAAAGGAGUUUUGCCCCAAACCCAUUUCUGCUGAUGCUUACACUAAGUUGAGACAUUUUAAUCUGUCCUGUCCACAAUAACUCUGCUCAUCCCAUCUGGGUCUUUCACCGAAAGACUAAUCUCACCUGCUCUAGAGGUAUUUGUUGGUUUGUUAGAGAACAAUCAAAUCUACUAAAGAGAUUAAAGAGGUAGUUCCAGAGACAGAUGAGAUACAUGGAAUGGUUUCUCCUGGAUCCAUCAAUCUUGCAUCUAGUUACAGUAAAUCAGCACCACAGUGAACUCAAUCCAUUUCAUGAACACAUGGGCUAAGGGUUCAUUUUUACAGCCAAGAGUAGUUUAUUCCCAGAAGUUAACACCCUACAAAAGAAGAAGAAGCAGAUGAGAGAUACCAAGCUGGAAGUCAAAUAAAGUGCAAAGGAAGAGUUCAGCAGAAACUCAGUGAUGGCAAGUAAGCAGAUGGAGCUCCUGGAAAAAAGAAUUCCCCAAACAGGAAAAGCAAAAUGCCACAUGGAAAUGUUGUGUUCUAGAAUGGACUCCAAGGCACCCAGUCCUCUCUGUCCCAAGCGUUUUCUCUUGGAGAAGCCACUCAAUUUACUGAUGUGCUCAGGAUCUGCUGGAUGAGCAUCAUGCAUCGAUAAUGAGCUUCAUCAAAAGUUUAGCUUCAACACAGAGGCUUUUACUUAAAAAAAAAAAAGUGCUUCCAUUCUCAAACACCAUCAUGGUGGAGAUCCAGUUUCCUGCUACAGGGAAUCUCCAAGGAAGUGGUUGAAUUUAUCAUGUCCUACAGGGGAAAACACUCAAACUAAUAACAACCGGAAUAGCCGUCAAAAUAAACAACAACAGAAAUCUAGAUGAGAUAAGCAUAAAAAACAGAACUGAAAGAGUGUUAGAAGAGAUUAAGGAGAUGAAAUCCCCUUAGCAAGGCCUUGGCUGGGGAAAAAGGAAAAAAUUUCAACAAAUAUCUGCUACACCUUCAUAUUGAUUUUUGAUUUUGACCAAACUAGAAAUGUAGUUACUUUUUUUUAGUUUAUGAGUGGGACACGUGAGACCCCCUGAGAACACUCUGCCAGCUGCAGUAACACUCUUGAGGACCUCAAGCAGAGGUCUACUGACUCCCUGGAUGGUUUCUGUCCAAGUUACACGACCCCUUGGUAAGGGAUGGUCAGCCCAGGCACAGUAAGGCCUGGCAGUUGUGGCCGCUUGACUCGAACUGCCCAAGAAGAGAGGUUUCAGCUUGGCUCAUCUAAUCCACUGUGCCUCUGACACUGCCUUCACCCCAGCAUAGAGAGGCUGCGGCUGUGUUGGCUGGGGCAGAGUGUGCUCCUGAGCUGCUCCAUGGCAUGUCAAGGCUGCUUAUAUUUGUAUAUCAUGAGCACAGAGACCCCCUAAGUGGAGGUUUUCCCCUGUUUUUCACAACACCCUUUACGCAACUCUUUGGGUUCCUGUGGAAAAAAAUCUCCUCAAUGCCUUAUUGAGCUCAUUUGAAAUUCCAAAACUAAUGAGGCUUUUGUCUCCCUCUUAACCUAAGAGCUAUUGUUACCUCUAAAAAUAAAAGAGAUAAUCUGUCAAAGAGCUAAAAAUACUGAGCUCUGAGAGCCUUUUCAGACCUUUACAUAGAAGAUGAUUGACACCCUUGCACCUUUAAUCUUCACAAAGAAAAUGGUGAGGCAGGAGCUCCUAUGCCCACCUCACCUCUUUCAUCAGCUGUCUGCCAGUUGUUCUUCCACAGCUUGAAUUGAUCUAGCACAAUCUGGGUAGAAGGUUUGUGCUCAGAAAGCGGUAUUCAUGAAGAAUCUACAGCAAUCACCCAAGGGUGCUUGGGCAACACUGUUUUAGGAAAGAGCUCUGUCUUUUUUUUAGUAGGAAAAGCAGGGAAUGCUUUCAGAUAGGUAUGCCAAGAAGUCCAGCUAUGUGCCACCUGCCCAAAUCCCCAUGGCUCCAGCACAAACAAAAGCUUUCCUGGAACACAGUAGGACGAGGGGUGCAGGCUGGGUAAGUCAUUGCAUGCUUUGAAUUGAACAGGACAGUAAAAACAAUUAGACCUAGUUACCAGUAGCAAAAAAAAAGCUCUCCUGUUUAUCAUGAAGAAGUCUUGAAUAGUCACAAUGCAGUGAGCAAAACUGUCCAUUUUCCAAAGCUUACUGGUCAGAACAGACGAACAUUUGCUUCACUUUCCUAACUGCAAAGUUGUGUUGCAUGGCCACAGCAAGUUGUUGGCAGAGGCAGGACUACAGGGGUGAGUCUGAGCGAAGAGAUAAGGAGUUGCCCCGUGGCAAACACAGCACACUCCAGCUGGCUCCACCAGACCCACUGCAGGACACAGACUGAGCCCAUCAGGUGAUGCCUCUAUGAUAAGGUAACACAGAGAGAGAGGAGAACUAAAAGGAAUGAGAAACAGCAGAGAGAACAUCAAGGUCAGAGGAGGAGCAGGUACACCUGAAAGAACUGCAGCCCAUGGAGUGCCCAGGAAGCAAUAGAUAUUUCCUGAGGGACUGCAGACUGUAAGGAGAAUCCACAUCAGAGCACAGGGAAAGUGCGAGAGGAAAAGAGUAGGAGAGAGAAAUCACUAAACCUCUAUGUUCUGACCAUAACUGCCCCCCUGCCCCUGCACCACCGGGGGAGCAUGUACAGGAGUCUGGAGAGGAGAAGAGAGGGGAGAGAAGGGAAGGGGAUGGGAGGAUAUAUCUUUGUAUUUCUUUGUGUCUUACAGCCAGAUUCUAUUCUAAUUGGCAAUAAAUUAAAUUAAUUUUCUCCAAGUCAAGACUGUAUUACCUACAACAGUAAUUGGUGAGAAAUCUCCCUGUCUUUAUAUUGACUUAUGAGCUUUCUCAUCCUAUUUUCUCCCCAUGCCCCACUGAAAGGGGUUAUGAGUGAGAAGCUGGAUGGAAAUUUGGGUGUUUGCCAAAGCUAACCCACCACAAAAGUGAACCCAUCACAAUGUGCCAAAAACUCAGCAGUACAUGGACUUUCUUGGCCUGGAGCCUCUGCAAGAGGAUGUAUUUGGUUCAAUCAAAGGA